GGUUGUGGCUUAGUGGUAGAGUGCUCGGUUCUGGGAGGUGCUAGGUUCGAUCCUUAGCACCA
This 62-nucleotide transfer RNA is filed under the name Marmota monax (woodchuck). RNAcentral describes it as "tRNA.Undet". Lineage: Eukaryota; Metazoa; Chordata; Mammalia; Rodentia; Sciuridae. The record is from RNAcentral.